Molecule: small nuclear RNA, 163 nt
Filed under: Castor canadensis (American beaver)
Lineage: Eukaryota; Metazoa; Chordata; Mammalia; Rodentia; Castoridae
Description: U1 spliceosomal RNA (ENSCCNG00000011511.1)
Rfam family: U1 spliceosomal RNA
About the family: U1 is a small nuclear RNA (snRNA) component of the spliceosome (involved in pre-mRNA splicing).
Source: RNAcentral
AUACUUACCUGGCAGGGGAGAUACCAUGAUCACGAAGGUGGUUUUCUCAGGGUGGGGCUUAUCCAUUGCACUCUGGAUGUGCUGACCCCUGCGAUUUCCCCAAAUGUGGGAAACUCGAAUACAUAAUUUGUGGUAGUGGGGAACUGCAUUCACACUCUCCCCU